AUGACAGCAGAGAGUGGCCGACGAGGGCGCUGCAACUUCGGCGAUGCUGCCUUGAAGAUGUGGGAGCACCGCCGAUGUUGCAAUGGAGCAACGCCGGACGGUCGGAAGUAUAGCCGGCGCUGCAAUGAAGCCUCGCCGGAUGCGCCGGUGCUGCGUUGGAGCUUCGCCGGUGCUGCAAUGGAACUUCGCCGGACCGCCGGAAGCAUAGUCGGUGCUGCAAUGAAGCCUCGCCGGAGCUGUAAUGGAGCUUUGCCGGUCGCGCCGGUGCUGCUAUGGAACUUCGCCGGACGCGCCGGUGCUGCGUUGGAGCUUCGCUGGAAUUCUUCGGUGCUGCGUUGGAACUUCGCCGGACGACGGCAGUGCGCCAUGAAAGCUGCGCUGGAGCUUUUGCGAGGAACAGCUGCGUAG
This 408-nucleotide ribosomal RNA is filed under the name Triticum aestivum (bread wheat). RNAcentral describes it as "partial small subunit ribosomal RNA". Lineage: Eukaryota; Viridiplantae; Streptophyta; Magnoliopsida; Poales; Poaceae. The record is from RNAcentral.